UUAACAAAAACAUGUCUUUUUGAGUUAUUUUUAAAGUCUGACCUGCCCACUGAAAUUGUUUAAAUGGCCGCAGUAUUCUAACUGUGCAAAGGUAGCAUAAUCAUUAGUCUUUUAAUUGAAGGCUGGUAUGAACGGUUGGACGAGGUAUAAGCUGUUUCAUAUAAAUUUAUAAUAGAAUUUUAUAUUUUAGUCAAAAAGCUAAAAUUUAAUUAAAAGACGAGAAGACCCUAUAAAUCUUUAUAUUUUAUAUUAUUUAAGUUUUUUUGAUUUGUUUUAUUUUUAUAAUUUAAGGUAUUUUGUUGGGGUGAUAUUAAAAUUUAAUGAACUUUUAAUUAUUUAAAAUCAUUAAUUUAUGAGUUAUUGAUCCAUUAAUAGUGAUUAUAAGACUAAGUUACUUUAGGGAUAACAGCGUAAUUUUUUUGGAGAGUUCAUAUCGAUAAAAAAGUUUGCGACCUCGAUGUUGGAUUAAGAUAUAUUUUUAGGUGUAGCCGCUUAAAUAUUAAGUCUGUUCGACUUUUAAAUUCUUACGUGAUCUGAGUUC
RNAcentral lists this ribosomal RNA (541 nucleotides) under Bactrocera mayi. Its description in RNAcentral is "partial 16S ribosomal RNA". It matches the Rfam family "Bacterial large subunit ribosomal RNA", at positions 1804 to 2612 of the family's 2925-position model. Lineage: Eukaryota; Metazoa; Arthropoda; Insecta; Diptera; Tephritidae. The record is from RNAcentral.